GUACCCGUAGCUCAGCUGGAUAGAGCGUUUGUUUGCGGUACAAGAGGUCGGAGGUUCGAAUCCCCCCGGGUACACCA
RNAcentral lists this transfer RNA (77 nucleotides) under Candidatus Saccharimonadota bacterium. RNAcentral's name for it is "tRNA-Arg". It matches the Rfam family "tRNA". From Rfam's summary of the family: Transfer RNA (tRNA) molecules are approximately 80 nucleotides in length. Their secondary structure includes four short double-helical elements and three loops (D, anti-codon, and T loops). RNAcentral also lists the same sequence under 1 other name. The record is from RNAcentral. Lineage: Bacteria; Candidatus Saccharimonadota.